This 22-nucleotide non-coding RNA is filed under the name Arabidopsis thaliana (thale cress). The record is from RNAcentral. Lineage: Eukaryota; Viridiplantae; Streptophyta; Magnoliopsida; Brassicales; Brassicaceae.
UGGUCCUGAUGGCUUCUCUGCA